Molecule: ribosomal RNA, 28 nt
Filed under: Phytopythium citrinum
Lineage: Eukaryota; Oomycota; Peronosporomycetes; Pythiales; Pythiaceae
Description: partial 28S ribosomal RNA
Source: RNAcentral
UUGGACCUGAUAUCAGACAAGAUUACCC